Molecule: long non-coding RNA, 2487 nt
Organism: Anguilla rostrata (American eel)
Lineage: Eukaryota; Metazoa; Chordata; Actinopteri; Anguilliformes; Anguillidae
Exons: 4
Source: RefSeq, a predicted model, not a curated record
CCAGCCCCUAGGACCCGGAGGCCUCAGAGUGAGCUGUUUUUAUGUUCCAGCCACAUUUCCGGUUCUAGUUCCCAGGACAAUCCGCCGUCAGUUGUUUUAAAUUGUUUUUAAUUUGAUGCUUGCACACCUAGGACACGUUAUUUCAGAAUCCUAGUGAUAUUAUAUGUGCUUAUUCAUUCAACACCCACUGAAACUAAACCAUUUGUGGAAGAGUUCUAAGUCAAAGCAAAUGAACCAAAUCUGCAUUGUGUUUAAAUCAAGUUGAGCACAAACUUACGGUAGAGCUGAGACAUGUUCUCAACAACCUUAAUUGAUCAAGAGAUUGGUUGCAGCAAAACCCAGUAUACACCAUGGAGACCAAGCAGUUCGUGAACCACCUGCUUUUGUGGAUUUCCUGAAACUCGUGGGGAACGGGAGAGUCCUUGGAGCCGCGGUCCAUCUCCCUUACUCAUGUGAGACAGAUGAAUACCGCGAAGGUUGCCGUUCCGCUCGCCAUCGGUGAACAUUCUGUCAUGGGCCUUCGCGUGGGCGUAGCACACCGCUGAUGCGUGAGCCACAGGCUACGCGAGUCUGAUUGGGGCCCGACGCGAACCCGGAGCUCAGCCGCCCCCACACUUCCCCCGGCCUCGCUCGUUUACAAAAGGUGCCUCGUCACCGCGUGGGACCAGCUGCGCUCGGUGAUUGCUUGUGACAUCACUACGCAAGCCUGCGGAUAAGACGGUCCACAGCUACCGGGGUUUCCGUGACUCUGUGCGUUUAAGCAACGUAAAAUGCCUCUGAAGGACGGUGAAAGGUCAAGCAGGGCUGGCGCGUGAGCGGCAGGGCUGUUUCUCAUACCAGCGCCGCUGGUUUAGAUUCCCAGAGAGGAGCAGAGCGGGAGGAAGAGGAAAGGCCAUGCAGCUGUUUGGAAUUAGGGGAAGAUGGCGAGGGCUCGCCCAGCGGCACGCAGGAAAUGAACGAGGCGGGGAGAAGAGCGGGAGACAGACAGCUGUCCCGUCCCAGCCGUCCCGCAGUCCAGGGCUGUACCCUGUGCGGGUUCCGGGUGACGCGAUCUGACGGACAUCACCCCCCGCUCUCAGUGUGACCCGACCUCUCGCUGCUAUAUUUGGGUGGGCGACCGUGUGCCUGUGCGCGAGGUUUGUCUCUAAGCCUGGGAACUCUGCGUCACAGCUGUCCAGGUAACAGGUUCCUGAAUGGGACACAGGGCCAGGUUCCCCCGCCCACUUCCUGUCAGAAUUAGGAUGAUGGGAUUAGGAUUAGCCUGGUUCCCGAUCUGAAGGGAGGAAAUGAUCUCUGUGGUGGGGGGACCUCUGGAGGAGGGGGAGGAGGAAAGCGGAGCUCCUUUAAGGGUGUCAGGCACAGGUGAAUCUGUUGCUCACUGGGUAGAUCUGACCAAAAAGGCAGAAUGACCUUAUCCACAGGUGAGGCAUCCAUAUGCGAUGCACUAACCCUGGCUAUCUGUCUUUAUGCAGAUUUUAAAAGCACAAUAAUCUGUCAUAGAAUCGUAUUCUGGGACAGGAAAUGGGAUGGUCUGUGUUACUUUCAAAUCUACAAAAAGGGGGGAAAUUGGAGCAUAUAAAUUAUUCCUUAAACCCAACCUAAUACCUAAUCCUACCUGAAUUUGGGGGGACUAACUUUACAGACCUCACAUAAUUGUGUAGGACUGAUUCGGUGCCUCUGGUACAAUGAGAUUUAUCAGCCUGGUUUCCAGUCACAAAAUGACUUCUGGGCUCUUAACAACCCUGAGACACAAACCUCCAAACACACAUUUUCAGCACAAAGCAUCAGUGGCCCACAAGACCUCCAUAUCAGGUAUGUGUGUGUGUGUUGGGGUGGGGGGGGGGGGCGGGGAUGAGAGGUCAAUCCAGGUAUAUUUAUCUUUUUCAGUGGAGAGAUGAGGGAGGAUUCUGAGGAAAGUGUCAAAGGGAAAGGAGAUUUUUUCAGAUGCCACUGUCACAUGCAGUACCUAGCAGUCUACACUAGAAGGAGCUGUAGUUCAGUAUCUGUUGGCUGUGGAGACAGUGUGUAAUGUACAUCUCAACAAAGAACGCUUUCAAAGUACAAAAAUUCCAGGUUACUCAUGCACACAAAGCACUGCCUAUAAGUCAUUAAAUUAAACUUGCUAAAUCUGGACCUUCCGUUAAAAGUAUUGAUAUCAAGAUGAGGCCAAAUUACAACAAAUAAUAUUGGACAUUUUAGUUCACAAAUUAAACAAGCAUUAUUCCAGUGGUACCCUGUGUUUCCUACAUUAUUUUAUGUACAGAAACUUGGCCCUAUGUCUUUUCAUCAUAUCAUCUAAAGAGAAUGUGGUCAUUCAAAGGUCAUCUGUCACAUGGAAGUGCGAAAUGGCAAUCAUUUACUGGAAAUUAUCUGAAAUUCAACUAUGUUACACUUUUUUUAUUUGAACAAUUGUCUGCAUGUAGUAAGCACAUAAUGAAUCAAAUACAUUAUUAUUAUUAUUCUAUUAUUAUUAUUAUUGUUAUUAUU